This 150-nucleotide non-coding RNA is filed under the name human gut metagenome. The record is from RNAcentral.
GGAACUUAGAAGUUCUUGAUGUUCUGUUCUUACUCAGCAAUGUUUGAACACGAUGUUCAAACAAGCCGCCACUGAGCCAUGGAUGGCGAAUUGGCGGCGGUUGCGUUCAUUGCCAAUUCAUUCAUCAGAACAUCUAGUACUUCUUAGUUU